Molecule: ribosomal RNA, 253 nt
Filed under: uncultured bacterium
Lineage: Bacteria
Description: partial 16S ribosomal RNA
Rfam family: Bacterial small subunit ribosomal RNA
Source: RNAcentral
UACAGAGGAUGUAAGCGUUAUCCGGAAUGAUUGGGCGUAAAGCGUCUGUAGGUGGCUUUUUAAGUCCGCCGUCAAAUCCCAGGGCUCAACUCUGGACAGGCGGUGGAAACUACCAAGCUGGAGUACGGUAGGGGCAGAGGGAAUUUCCGGUGGAGCGGUGAAAUGCGUAGAGAUCGGGAGGAACACCAGUGGCGAAGGCGGCUACCUGGACCAGCACUGACACUGAGGCACGAAAGCGUGGGGAGCAAACAGG